This 73-nucleotide transfer RNA is filed under the name Canis lupus familiaris (dog). It matches the Rfam family "tRNA". Rfam says of the family: Transfer RNA (tRNA) molecules are approximately 80 nucleotides in length. Their secondary structure includes four short double-helical elements and three loops (D, anti-codon, and T loops). Lineage: Eukaryota; Metazoa; Chordata; Mammalia; Carnivora; Canidae. The record is from Rfam by way of RNAcentral. RNAcentral also lists the same sequence under 1 other name.
GCCUGGCUGGCUCAGUCAGUGAAGCAUGUGACUCUUGAUUUCAGAGUUGUGAGUUUGAGCCCCACGUUGGGCG